GCGGGAGUAGCUCAGCGGUAGAGCAUCAGCUUCCCAAGCUGAGGGUCGCGGGUUCGAUCCCCGUUUCCCGCUCCA
RNAcentral lists this transfer RNA (75 nucleotides) under Mariniphaga sediminis. RNAcentral's name for it is "tRNA-Gly". It matches the Rfam family "tRNA". Rfam says of the family: Transfer RNA (tRNA) molecules are approximately 80 nucleotides in length. Their secondary structure includes four short double-helical elements and three loops (D, anti-codon, and T loops). The record is from RNAcentral. Lineage: Bacteria; Pseudomonadati; Bacteroidota; Bacteroidia; Marinilabiliales; Prolixibacteraceae.